GUUCCAGCCAAACCCCUGCAUGUGCGCGUUUGCGUUUGGGGACCCUCAAAAACCGGCAUUGGAGUGCAAUCACCGCACGCAGAAUGCCGCCGUCUAGGCUCGCGAGAACAGAGCGCCGUUGUCUCGGACCCGCGAGAAGCCUUCGCAUGCGCACUCGGUGCCACCGUCACCUCGGAAGGAGAAACGCCUUUCUCUGCGGCAGCCCAGCGUACCUUAAACCAUAGGAGAUGUCCAGAGGCCACGAGAUCAUCGUCACUGGAGACGAGAUCAGAUCGACCAAAGCCACCAACUACAGUGAAGCAAUAGCCCAAAUCCGCACCGUGUGACACUGGUCGCAUAGACCCAAGCCCGACCUCUUUAAAAAGCCCUGUAUUUCUGCUCAAAGGGAGGACGGCGGGUUUUUGAGAGGCUC
This is a long non-coding RNA of Propithecus coquereli (Coquerel's sifaka), 412 nucleotides long. RefSeq lists it as uncharacterized. The transcript has 3 exons. The record is from RefSeq and is a predicted model, not a curated record. Lineage: Eukaryota; Metazoa; Chordata; Mammalia; Primates; Indriidae.